Molecule: transfer RNA, 95 nt
Filed under: Rhodnius prolixus
Lineage: Eukaryota; Metazoa; Arthropoda; Insecta; Hemiptera; Reduviidae
Description: tRNA tRNA-Tyr
Rfam family: tRNA
About the family: Transfer RNA (tRNA) molecules are approximately 80 nucleotides in length. Their secondary structure includes four short double-helical elements and three loops (D, anti-codon, and T loops). Further hydrogen bonds mediate the characteristic L-shaped molecular structure. tRNAs have two regions of fundamental functional importance: the anti-codon, which is responsible for specific mRNA codon recognition, and the 3' end, to which the tRNAs corresponding amino acid is attached (by aminoacyl-tRNA synthetases). tRNAs cope with the degeneracy of the genetic code in two manners: having more than one tRNA (with a specific anti-codon) for a particular amino acid; and 'wobble' base-pairing, i.e. permitting non-standard base-pairing at the 3rd anti-codon position.
Source: Rfam by way of RNAcentral
CCUCUGGUAGCUCAGUUGGUAGAGCGGUGGACUGUAGUUGGGCAAACAUUAUAGCAGCUAUCCAUAGGUCGCUGGUUCAAAUCCGGCCCGGAGGA